This 375-nucleotide ribosomal RNA is filed under the name uncultured organism. RNAcentral describes it as "partial 16S ribosomal RNA". It matches the Rfam family "Bacterial small subunit ribosomal RNA", at positions 527 to 896 of the family's 1533-position model. The record is from RNAcentral.
GUAGGUGGCAAGCGUUGUCCGGAAUUAUUGGGCGUAAAGCGCGCGCAGGCGGUUCUUUAAGUCUGAUGUGAAAGCCCACGGCUCAACCGUGGAGGGUCAUUGGAAACUGGAGGACUUGAGUACAGAAGAGGAAAGCGGAAUUCCACGUGUAGCGGUGAAAUGCGUAGAGAUGUGGAGGAACACCAGUGGCGAAGGCGGCUUUCUGGUCUGUAACUGACGCUGAGGCGCGAAAGCGUGGGGAGCAAACAGGGAUUAGAUACCCUGGUAGUCCACGCCGUAAACGAUGAGUGCUAAGUGUUAGGGGGGUUUCCGCCCCCUUAGUGCUGCAGCUAACGCAUUAAGCACUCCGCCCUGGGGAGUACGGCCGCAAGGCUG